This 254-nucleotide ribosomal RNA is filed under the name uncultured bacterium. RNAcentral's name for it is "partial 16S ribosomal RNA". It matches the Rfam family "Bacterial small subunit ribosomal RNA", at positions 524 to 776 of the family's 1533-position model. The record is from RNAcentral.
UACGUAGGAGACGAGCGUUGUCCGGAAUUACUGGGCGUAAAGCGCGUGUAGGCGGGUCCGCAAGUCUGCUGUGAAAGCUCCUGGCUUAACCGGGAGUGGUCGGUGGAAACUGCGAACCUGGAGGACGGUAGAGGUAGGUAGAAUUCCCGGUGUAGUGGUGAAAUGCGUAGAGAUCGGGAGGAAUACCUGUGGCGAAGGCGGCCUACUGGGCCGGACCUGACGCUGAGACGCGAAGGCGUGGGGGAGCAAACAGG